AACGAACGCUGGCGGCAUGCCUAACACAUGCAAGUCGAACGAGACCUUCGGGUCUAGUGGCGCACGGGUGCGUAACGCGUGGGAAUCUACCCUCAGGUUCGGAAUAACUCAGAGAAAUUUGAGCUAAUACCGGAUGAUGACUUAAGUCCAAAGAUUUAUCGCCUUAGGAUGAGCCCGCGUAGGAUUAGGUAGUUGGUGAGGUAAAGGCUCACCAAGCCGACGAUCCUUAGCUGGUCUGAGAGGAUGAUCAGCCACACUGGGACUGAGACACGGCCCAGACUCCUACGGGAGGCAGCAGUGGGGAAUAUUGGACAAUGGGCGAAAGCCUGAGCCAGCAAGGCCGCGUGAGUGAUGAAGGCCUUAGGGUUGUAAAGCUCUUUUACCCGGGAUGAUAAUGACAGUACCGGGAGAAUAAGCUCCGGCUAACUCCGUG
RNAcentral lists this ribosomal RNA (433 nucleotides) under uncultured bacterium. RNAcentral's name for it is "partial 16S ribosomal RNA". It matches the Rfam family "Bacterial small subunit ribosomal RNA", at positions 29 to 507 of the family's 1533-position model. The record is from RNAcentral.